RNAcentral lists this ribosomal RNA (468 nucleotides) under uncultured bacterium. RNAcentral describes it as "partial 16S ribosomal RNA". It matches the Rfam family "Bacterial small subunit ribosomal RNA", at positions 28 to 507 of the family's 1533-position model. The record is from RNAcentral.
GACGAACGCUGGCGGCGUGCUUAACACAUGCAAGCCGAACGGAAAGGCCCUGCUUUUGUGGGGUGCUCGAGUGGCGAACGGGUGAGUAACACGUGAGUAACCUGCCCUUGACUUUGGGAUAACUUCAGGAAACUGGGGCUAAUACCGGAUAGGAGCUCCUGCUGAAUGGUGGGGGUUGGAAAGUUUCGGCGGUUGGGGAUGGACUCGCGGCUUAUCAGCUUGUUGGUGGGGUAGUGGCUUACCAAGGCUUUGACGGGUAGCCGGCCUGAGAGGGUGACCGGCCACAUUGGGACUGAGCUACGGCCCAGACUCCUACGGGAGGCAGCAGUGGGGAAUAUUGCACAAUGGGCGGAAGCCUGAUGCAGCAACGCCGCGUGCGGGAUGACGGCCUUCGGGUUGUAAACCGCUUUCGCCUGUGACGAAGCGUGAGUGACGGUAAUGGGUAAAGAAGCACCGGCUAACUACGUG